UAGAUGGCCCAGCAAAGACUUGUUUAACAAACAUUUGCAUUUCCAUCUCCAUGUAAAUUGUCGUCCUCCUCUCUGAAGUUCCAAACCACUGCCUCCAGCAUCCUCCUUUGUCUUAGCUGAAGAUGGUAUUUAAGGUGGCAGCUUCGGCCAUUCUGGCCACACCUGAGAUGAAUUAAUCAGCAUCUCUCAGGCUUGAACCCAGGCCUCACAUGGUUCCUCAGACUCCCUAGGUGGUUCCAAUGUGCAUCUGAGUUUGAGAACCACAAGACCCAUCAGCUUUAUAAGGUAAAGGUAAAGCAAGAAUAAGCUUGAAUGCCCUGCCCAUUCUCCAAGGACCCCGUGGAGGAAAGAAGUGGAGAGUCACCUGCUGAAGUGAGGAGCAAGGAACUGCUGUUUUCACCCCUGCGGGGAAGGAAGCUGCUGAAAGGCGUAUACCACCGAAAAGAAUCAGUGAGCAAGAAAGAAGACAAGCGGGGGGUCAGGAAGGAGUGCCUUCAACACGAGGCCUCCCUCCCUCCAGGCUCCUUGGUGGAAGAGAGGAACAGCAGGAGGCAACCAGAACUAUCAAGCAUCACAGACUGCAUGCAGCUUCUCAUCCUUUUUCAGAGCACAGUAUCAACAUUUAUUUUUGUACAAGUUUCAACUGGCUGCUGAGAACAGGGAAAUAGCUGUAUAACCCAGGAGUUUUACUCACCACAGAACUCAGUCCCUAGAACUGCAGGACACUUCAUAUGCCAGGUUUACGAAUGGCAGUGGCUUCCCAGAGCCUAGGAUUUCUCCAUCCCUGUGGGUUUCCCUCAAUUCUGCUAAACCUUUGUACCACUCGGUCAAGACGCUGCUUCCGUGGCAACAUGUGAUGUGACA
RNAcentral lists this long non-coding RNA (864 nucleotides) under Equus caballus (horse). RNAcentral describes it as "lncRNA (ENSECAG00000050775.1)". Lineage: Eukaryota; Metazoa; Chordata; Mammalia; Perissodactyla; Equidae. The record is from RNAcentral.